RNAcentral lists this ribosomal RNA (656 nucleotides) under Salmonella enterica. RNAcentral's name for it is "partial 23S ribosomal RNA". It matches the Rfam family "Bacterial large subunit ribosomal RNA", at positions 1 to 604 of the family's 2925-position model. Lineage: Bacteria; Pseudomonadati; Pseudomonadota; Gammaproteobacteria; Enterobacterales; Enterobacteriaceae. The record is from RNAcentral. RNAcentral also lists the same sequence under 1 other name.
GGGUUGUGAGGUUAAGCGACUAAGCGUACACGGUGGAUGCCCUGGCAGUCAGAGGCGAUGAAGGGCGUGCUAAUCUGCGAUAAGCGCCGGUAAGGUGAUAUGAACCGUUAUAACCGGCGAUACCCGAAUGGGGAAACCCAGUGUGACUCGUCACACUAUCAUUAACUGAAUCCAUAGGUUAAUGAGGCGAACCGGGGGAACUGAAACAUCUAAGUACCCCGAGGAAAAGAAAUCAACCGAGAUUCCCCCAGUAGCGGCGAGCGAACGGGGAGGAGCCCAGAGCCUGAAUCAGCAUGUGUGUUAGUGGAAGCGUCUGGAAAGGCGCGCGAUACAGGGUGACAGCCCCGUACACAAAAGCGCACAUGCUGUGAGCUCGAUGAGUAGGGCGGGACACGUGGUAUCCUGUCUGAAUAUGGGGGGACCAUCCUCCAAGGCUAAAUACUCCUGACUGACCGAUAGUGAACCAGUACCGUGAGGGAAAGGCGAAAAGAACCCCGGCGAGGGGAGUGAAAAAGAACCUGAAACCGUGUACGUACAAGCAGUGGGAGCCCCACCACCAAAGCAUUCUCUGGUGUUGAAGGCCCUGCAAAGCAGCAUCGCGGUGGCGGAGCGUCGUUUGCGACGCCCAACACACAAAACAAGCGGUGAGUGCUUUG